Papaver somniferum (opium poppy) is the source of this 584-nucleotide long non-coding RNA. RefSeq lists it as uncharacterized. Lineage: Eukaryota; Viridiplantae; Streptophyta; Magnoliopsida; Ranunculales; Papaveraceae. The transcript is spliced from 3 exons. The record is from RefSeq and is a predicted model, not a curated record.
ACUGUGAGAAGGAGAAGAAAUUCUUAGGGUUUCAGUUCCCUUAAUUUUUUCUCGCCUCUUCUCAGUACUUCUCUCUGAGAAGGAGAAGAAAUUCUCCCCUUCUUCUGAUCUUCAUCUUCUCUGUUAACCUUCAAUCAAACGAUUAAAAGUUCAAACCGUAUUACUUCGUCUGUCUCUUCGUUUUUAAUUCCGGUGUGAAGAAAAUUAGAAGAACAAUUCCGGUGGUAAGUAAUUUUUAAUUUUUUGAUUUUAAUUUUUGUAUGCAUGUCUGUGAAUCUGUGAUUGAGAUUAACGGAUUUUUGUUUUCUCUAGCGAGUAGCGGCUUAAAGGAUUUUCUUCAUCUCCCACCAAACCUUCAUAGCGAGUAGCGGCUUAAAGGAUUCACUGCAAUCACCGCCAAAGAUUGAGACCAAUUGAGAGCAAUUGCCUGACAAGUAAAAUCAAGGUACAUUAUCAAAGGCAGGAGCCGCAGGACUGCAUCAAUUGCACAAGGAAGUGCCAACUUUGUCAGUGAUGGAAAUAUGGCGUCAUUUCACUCGGAGAAAUGUUGAAGAACCCUCUUGCAAUUACUGUGGAAGGACUUA